UUUUACAAGAUCAUCAGUCACACAAUCUCACCACUCCAGAUUUUGAAAACAGAAACCAAAGUAUAAAACGAAAGAGAGCAACCAAGUCCCAGGAGAAGAUAGCAGUGAGUGAAAAUAUUUUAUCAGAUUAAAAUUUUAGUUGGUGAUUAUAU
This 152-nucleotide long non-coding RNA is filed under the name Phasianus colchicus (ring-necked pheasant). RNAcentral describes it as "lncRNA (ENSPCLG00000000191.1)". Lineage: Eukaryota; Metazoa; Chordata; Aves; Galliformes; Phasianidae. The record is from RNAcentral.